Molecule: ribosomal RNA, 463 nt
Filed under: Escherichia coli
Lineage: Bacteria; Pseudomonadati; Pseudomonadota; Gammaproteobacteria; Enterobacterales; Enterobacteriaceae
Description: bacterial SSU rRNA
Rfam family: Bacterial small subunit ribosomal RNA
Source: RNAcentral
AUUGAACGCUGGCGGCAGGCCUAACACAUGCAAGUCGAACGGUAACAGGAAACAGCUUGCUGUUUCGCUGACGAGUGGCGGACGGGUGAGUAAUGUCUGGGAAACUGCCUGAUGGAGGGGGAUAACUACUGGAAACGGUAGCUAAUACCGCAUAACGUCGCAAGACCAAAGAGGGGGACCCUCGGGCCUCUUGCCAUCGGAUGUGCCCAGAUGGGAUUAGCUUGUUGGUGGGGUAACGGCUCACCAAGGCGACGAUCCCUAGCUGGUCUGAGAGGAUGACCAGCCACACUGGAACUGAGACACGGUCCAGACUCCUACGGGAGGCAGCAGUGGGGAAUAUUGCACAAUGGGCGCUAAGCCUGAUGCAGCCAUGCCGCGUGUAUGAAGAAGGCCUUCGGGUUGUAAAGUACUUUCAGCGGGGAGGAAGGGAGUAAAGUUAAUACCUUUGCUCAUUGACGUACCC